GACGAACGCUGGCGGCGUGCUUAACACAUGCAAGUCGAACGGAAAGGCCCUGCUUGCAGGGUACUCGAGUGGCGAACGGGUGAGUAACACGUGGGUGAUCUGCCCUGCACUUCGGGAUAAGCCUGGGAAACUGGGUCUAAUACCGGAUAGGAGCCAUUUUUAGUGUGAUGGUUGGAAAGUUUUUUCGGUGUAGGAUGAGCUCGCGUCCUAUCAGCUUGUUGGUGGGGUAAUGGCCUACCAAGGCGGCGACGGGUAGCCGGCCUGAGAGGGUGGACGGCCACAUUGGGACUGAGAUACGGCCCAGACUCCUACGGGAGGCAGCAGUGGGGAAUAUUGCACAAUGGGCGCAAGCCUGAUGCAGCGACGCCGCGUGGGGGAUGACGGCCUUCGGGUUGUAAACUCCUUUCGCUAGGGACGAAGCUUUUUGUGACGGUACCUAGAUAAGAAGCACCGGCUAACUACGUG
RNAcentral lists this ribosomal RNA (465 nucleotides) under uncultured bacterium. RNAcentral describes it as "partial 16S ribosomal RNA". It matches the Rfam family "Bacterial small subunit ribosomal RNA", at positions 28 to 507 of the family's 1533-position model. The record is from RNAcentral.